Molecule: ribosomal RNA, 510 nt
Filed under: uncultured bacterium
Lineage: Bacteria
Description: partial 16S ribosomal RNA
Rfam family: Bacterial small subunit ribosomal RNA
Source: RNAcentral
GACGAACGCUGGCGGCGUGCUUAACACAUGCAAGUCGAACGAAGAGCGAUGGAAGCUUGCUUCUAUCAAUCUUAGUGGCGAACGGGUGAGUAACGCGUAAUCAACCUGCCCUUCAGAGGGGGACAACAGUUGGAAACGACUGCUAAUACCGCAUACGAUCUGACCUCGGCAUCGAGGAUAGAUGAAAGGUGGCCUCUACAUGUAAGCUAUCACUGAAGGAGGGGAUUGCGUCUGAUUAGCUAGUUGGAGGGGUAACGGCCCACCAAGGCGAUGAUCAGUAGCCGGUCUGAGAGGAUGAACGGCCACAUUGGGACUGAGACACGGCCCAGACUCCUACGGGAGGCAGCAGUGGGGAAUCUUCCGCAAUAGACGAAAGUCUGACGGAGCAACGCCGCGUGAGUGAUGGCGGCCUUCGGGUUGUAAAGCUCUGUUAAUCGGGACGAAAGGCCUUUUUGCGAAUAGUGAGAAGGAUUGACGGUACCGGAAUAGAAAGCCACGGCUAACUACGUG